Molecule: ribosomal RNA, 439 nt
Filed under: uncultured bacterium
Lineage: Bacteria
Description: partial 16S ribosomal RNA
Rfam family: Bacterial small subunit ribosomal RNA
Source: RNAcentral
CCUACGGGGGGCUGCAGUGGGGAAUAUUGCACAAUGGGCGAAAGCCUGAUGCAGCAACGCCGCGUGAGCGAUGAAGGCCUUCGGGUCGUAAAGCUCUGUCCUCAAGGAAGAUAAUGACGGUACUUGAGGAGGAAGCCCCGGCAAACAACGUGCCAGCAGCCGCGGUAAUACGUAGGGGGCUAGCGUUAUCCGGAAUUACUGGGCGUAACGGGUGCGUAGGUGGUUUCUUAAGUAAGAGGUGAAAGGCUGCGGUUAAACCGUAGUAAGCCUUUGAAACUGGGGAACUUGAGUGCAGGAGAGGAGAGUGGAAUUCCAGGUGUAGCGGUGAAAUGCGUAGAGAUUAGGAGGAACACCAGUUGCGAAGGCGGCUCUCUGGACUGUGACUGACGCUGAGGCACGAAAGCGUGGGGAGCAAACAGGAUUAGAUACCCCAGUAGUC